CUGAAUAUCAAAAUGCUACAAGAAUUCAUGGAGAUUCAGUUCUUGGUCACAAGGUAAUCCAUCGUGACCAAGAAGCAGCAACUCAUCGUCUCUUCAACGACUAUUUUUCUGAAAAUCCAACAUUCAACGAAGGAAUAUUUCGUAGUUGCUUCCGAAUGUCUCGAAGUCUAUUCCUCCGCAUUGUUGAUGCUGUCAAAAAUCAUAAUGAUUUUUUCGAGCAAUGCAUGGAUUGCACAGGAAGAUGGGGCUUGUCCACACUGCAAAAAAUAAUAGCUGCCUUUCAAAUAUUGGCAUACGGGGUACCAGUAGAUGCUACUGACGAGUACAUAAAUAUUGGUGAAUUCACUGCAAUUAAAUGUGUCAAGAAAUUCUGUCGUGCAAUUGCGGAAAUAUUUUCUGAUCAAUAUCUAAGAUCUCAUAAUGCUAGUGAUGUUGCUAGACUACUUUAUAUUGGUAAACAACGUGGAUUUCCCGAAAUGUUAGGUAGUCUUGAUUGUAUGCAUUGGAAGUGGAAAAAUUGUCCAACAGGUUGGGCAGGCUCGUAUGCCGGUCGUAGUGGCUCUCCAACAAUUAUUCUUGAAAUCGUUGCUGAUUAUGACCUUUGGAUAUGGCAUGCAUUCUUUGGUAUGCCAGGAUCCAAUAAUGAUAUUAAUGUGUUGGAAAGAUCUCAUCUUUUCAGUGACCUUGCUAGAGGUAUCACUUCAUCCACACAUUAUGUCAUACAAGGAAAAGAGUAUAAUGUUGGCUAUUAUUUAGCAGAUGGUAUAUACCCCAAGUGGUCCACACUUGUACAAACUUUUCAUGAACCACGCUCUGUCAAAAAAAAGUUUUUUGCAAUGAGACAGGAAUCGUGUAGGAAAGAUGUGGAGCGUGCAUUCGGAGUUAUUCAAAGCCGAUUUGCAAUUGUUGCAAAUCCAGCCCGCUACUGGCAAAGAAACAUUUGCAUAUAUAAUGAAAGCGUGCAUUAUCAUGUCAUAAUAUGAUUGUUGAAGAUGAACGUGACAUGUCUGCACCAAUUGAAAUUGCAAGAGAAGUGCCAAUUCUAGAUGUUGAAACAAUGCUAAAUGAAACAAGUCAUUUCCAAGAAUUUCUUGGACGCUAUAAAAAAUCAAAGAUAGAGUGGCUCACUUUGCGCUUCGUGAUGCAUUAGUCGAUCAUAUAUGGGAGGAGUUUUCUAAUUUAGAAAAUUAGUUGGUUUUAUCAUGUAAUUUAUGCUUUGUUAAAUAUUAUGUAAUGUUUAAUUCUAAGAGUAUAUGUAAUUUCAGUUUUUAUGUUGUUGAAAUAAAUUAAUCGUUCUACAAUAUUUAAAUAUAGCACUUUAUUAAUCAAUUUUUCUCAAAAAUAUUUAAAUUAAUUUAUAUUUGAAUUUGAAUUUUAAUCACAUUUAAUUGAAUAUAAAUAUAAUUAUUUAUAAAUAUAUAUGAUAUAUAAUGAUUAAAUUGAUAAAAUAAUUUAAUAUUUUUUAAUUUUUUUUGUUACAACUAGGGAUGGCAAUCGGGUACGAUGGGUACGAAUAGUGAUUAUCCAUACUCAUAUCCACGAACUAAAUGGAUAGUGGUUUUUAACCACGAAACUAUCCAUUGAUAUCAAAUGGUAUUCAAACCCGCUACUCACGGAUACCCGUUACCCGUCGGGUAUCCGCGAACCCGCUAUCCGCCAGAUACCCGCCAUCUACUAUCCGCCGGAUACCCACGAAACAGAAUUUAAAUACAAAUUUUUUAACACAUUUAAUAGAAAUAAAAAUCAAUUUGCCAAACAUAUAAUCAAUUUGCAUCCACUGUUGACAGAUUAUUCAAUAAAUAAUAUACUCAAUUUGCCAAAUAUAUACUCAAUUUACUCAAUUUUCAGAUUAAUUAAAAUGCCAACAUAUGUAAUCUUUAACAGAUUUCAGUUUAAUUGCUAGAUUUCAAUUUAAAUGACUUACUAAAUUUUAGUUUAAUUAAAUAAACUCAAGUUAAAUACCUUUAGUGGCGUCUGGACUGGACUCUGAACGGCUGGGCAGCGCCGGUGCGCGGAGGACAGCGGCUGGGCGGUGCCGGUGCACGGAGGACAGCUUGAGAGUGGAGAGGAGGGAGUUGAGAGAAGAGAGGAGGGCGGAGGUCAGCGGCUGGAAUGGCGACGGCGAAUGGCGUUGCUGGAGGAGGGCGAAAGAAUGGCGUUGCUAGACGAGGUCGGCGGGCGGCGAGUGGCUGCCGGCUGGUGGCUGGAAUCGCGAUUCGCGGGAGGGCUUAGGGGAAGAAACGACUGCGUUGCUGGAUGAAGGCAGACGAAUGGCGUUGCUGGACGAGGUCGGCGGCCGACUGGUGGCUGGAAUCGCGACUGCCACAAGGAUUGCUUAGGGGAAGAAAUGGCUAAGCCGCUGAAGUUGAGCGGCUGUGUUAGGGGCUUUGGAGAAUUAGGGUUUAGGUUUAGAUGAAUUAGAUUAUUAGAGUUUGGGCAUUGCUUCAGUUUUUAUCUGGACUUAUUUUAAGAUAUAAUAUGCUAGCACAUAAUCUUAAAAUAUAUAUUCAAAGCCUAUAUUUUUUGGAUUU
This 2531-nucleotide long non-coding RNA is filed under the name Salvia miltiorrhiza (redroot sage). Its description in RNAcentral is "long non-coding RNA (SMIL_LNC005569)". Lineage: Eukaryota; Viridiplantae; Streptophyta; Magnoliopsida; Lamiales; Lamiaceae. The record is from RNAcentral.